Molecule: ribosomal RNA, 2931 nt
Filed under: Escherichia coli
Lineage: Bacteria; Pseudomonadati; Pseudomonadota; Gammaproteobacteria; Enterobacterales; Enterobacteriaceae
Description: bacterial LSU rRNA
Rfam family: Bacterial large subunit ribosomal RNA
Source: RNAcentral
GGGUUGUGAGGUUAAGCGACUAAGCGUACACGGUGGAUGCCCUGGCAGUCAGAGGCGAUGAAGGACGUGCUAAUCUGCGAUAAGCGUCGGUAAGGUGAUAUGAACCGUUAUAACCGGCGAUUUCCGAAUGGGGAAACCCAGUGUGUUUCGACACACUAUCAUUAACUGAAUCCAUAGGUUAAUGAGGCGAACCGGGGGAACUGAAACAUCUAAGUACCCCGAGGAAAAGAAAUCAACCGAGAUUCCCCCAGUAGCGGCGAGCGAACGGGGAGCAGCCCAGAGCCUGAAUCAGUGUGUGUGUUAGUGGAAGCGUCUGGAAAGGCGCGCGAUACAGGGUGACAGCCCCGUACACAAAAAUGCACAUGCUGUGAGCUCGAUGAGUAGGGCGGGACACGUGGUAUCCUGUCUGAAUAUGGGGGGACCAUCCUCCAAGGCUAAAUACUCCUGACUGACCGAUAGUGAACCAGUACCGUGAGGGAAAGGCGAAAAGAACCCCGGCGAGGGGAGUGAAAAAGAACCUGAAACCGUGUACGUACAAGCAGUGGGAGCACGCUUAGGCGUGUGACUGCGUACCUUUUGUAUAAUGGGUCAGCGACUUAUAUUCUGUAGCAAGGUUAACCGAAUAGGGGAGCCGAAGGGAAACCGAGUCUUAACUGGGCGUUAAGUUGCAGGGUAUAGACCCGAAACCCGGUGAUCUAGCCAUGGGCAGGUUGAAGGUUGGGUAACACUAACUGGAGGACCGAACCGACUAAUGUUGAAAAAUUAGCGGAUGACUUGUGGCUGGGGGUGAAAGGCCAAUCAAACCGGGAGAUAGCUGGUUCUCCCCGAAAGCUAUUUAGGUAGCGCCUCGUGAAUUCAUCUCCGGGGGUAGAGCACUGUUUCGGCAAGGGGGUCAUCCCGACUUACCAACCCGAUGCAAACUGCGAAUACCGGAGAAUGUUAUCACGGGAGACACACGGCGGGUGCUAACGUCCGUCGUGAAGAGGGAAACAACCCAGACCGCCAGCUAAGGUCCCAAAGUCAUGGUUAAGUGGGAAACGAUGUGGGAAGGCCCAGACAGCCAGGAUGUUGGCUUAGAAGCAGCCAUCAUUUAAAGAAAGCGUAAUAGCUCACUGGUCGAGUCGGCCUGCGCGGAAGAUGUAACGGGGCUAAACCAUGCACCGAAGCUGCGGCAGCGACGCUGAUGCGUUGUUGGGUAGGGGAGCGUUCUGUAAGCCUGUGAAGGUGUGCUGUGAGGUAUGCUGGAGGUAUCAGAAGUGCGAAUGCUGACAUAAGUAACGAUAAAGCGGGUGAAAAGCCCGCUCGCCGGAAGACCAAGGGUUCCUGUCCAACGUUAAUCGGGGCAGGGUGAGUCGACCCCUAAGGCGAGGCCGAAAGGCGUAGUCGAUGGGAAACAGGUUAAUAUUCCUGUACUUGGUGUUACUGCGAAGGGGGGACGGAGAAGGCUAUGUUGGCCGGGCGACGGUUGUCCCGGUUUAAGCGUGUAGGCUGGUUUUCCAGGCAAAUCCGGAAAAUCAAGGCUGAGGCGUGAUGACGAGGCACUACGGUGCUGAAGCAACAAAUGCCCUGCUUCCAGGAAAAGCCUCUAAGCAUCAGGUAACAUCAAAUCGUACCCCAAACCGACACAGGUGGUCAGGUAGAGAAUACCAAGGCGCUUGAGAGAACUCGGGUGAAGGAACUAGGCAAAAUGGUGCCGUAACUUCGGGAGAAGGCACGCUGAUAUGUAGGUGAAGUCCCUCGCGGAUGGAGCUGAAAUCAGUCGAAGAUACCAGCUGGCUGCAACUGUUUAUUAAAAACACAGCACUGUGCAAACACGAAAGUGGACGUAUACGGUGUGACGCCUGCCCGGUGCCGGAAGGUUAAUUGAUGGGGUCAGCGCAAGCGAAGCUCUUGAUCGAAGCCCCGGUAAACGGCGGCCGUAACUAUAACGGUCCUAAGGUAGCGAAAUUCCUUGUCGGGUAAGUUCCGACCUGCACGAAUGGCGUAAUGAUGGCCAGGCUGUCUCCACCCGAGACUCAGUGAAAUUGAACUCGCUGUGAAGAUGCAGUGUACCCGCGGCAAGACGGAAAGACCCCGUGAACCUUUACUAUAGCUUGACACUGAACAUUGAGCCUUGAUGUGUAGGAUAGGUGGGAGGCUUUGAAGUGUGGACGCCAGUCUGCAUGGAGCCGACCUUGAAAUACCACCCUUUAAUGUUUGAUGUUCUAACGUGGACCCGUGAUCCGGGUUGCGGACAGUGUCUGGUGGGUAGUUUGACUGGGGCGGUCUCCUCCUAAAGAGUAACGGAGGAGCACGAAGGUUGGCUAAUCCUGGUCGGACAUCAGGAGGUUAGUGCAAUGGCAUAAGCCAGCUUGACUGCGAGCGUGACGGCGCGAGCAGGUGCGAAAGCAGGUCAUAGUGAUCCGGUGGUUCUGAAUGGAAGGGCCAUCGCUCAACGGAUAAAAGGUACUCCGGGGAUAACAGGCUGAUACCGCCCAAGAGUUCAUAUCGACGGCGGUGUUUGGCACCUCGAUGUCGGCUCAUCACAUCCUGGGGCUGAAGUAGGUCCCAAGGGUAUGGCUGUUCGCCAUUUAAAGUGGUACGCGAGCUGGGUUUAGAACGUCGUGAGACAGUUCGGUCCCUAUCUGCCGUGGGCGCUGGAGAACUGAGGGGGGCUGCUCCUAGUACGAGAGGACCGGAGUGGACGCAUCACUGGUGUUCGGGUUGUCAUGCCAAUGGCACUGCCCGGUAGCUAAAUGCGGAAGAGAUAAGUGCUGAAAGCAUCUAAGCACGAAACUUGCCCCGAGAUGAGUUCUCCCUGACUCCUUGAGAGUCCUGAAGGAACGUUGAAGACGACGACGUUGAUAGGCCGGGUGUGUAAGCGCAGCGAUGCGUUGAGCUAACCGGUACUAAUGAACCGUGAGGCUUAACCUUACAACGCCGAAGGUGUUU